UACGGAGGGGGCUAGCAUUGCUCGGAAUUACUGGGCGUAAAGCGCACGUAGGCGGCCAUGAUAGUCAGAUGUGAAAGGCCUGGGCUUAACCCGGGAACUGCAUUUGAUACUGCGUGGCUAGAGUCCAAGAGAGGGUAGUGGAAUUCCCAGUGUAGAGGUGAAAUUCGUAGAUAUUGGGAAGAACACCAGUGGCGAAGGCGGCUACCUGGCUUGGUACUGACGCUCAGGUGCGAAAGCGUGGGGAGCAAACAGG
Molecule: ribosomal RNA, 253 nt
Filed under: uncultured bacterium
Lineage: Bacteria
Description: partial 16S ribosomal RNA
Rfam family: Bacterial small subunit ribosomal RNA
Source: RNAcentral